Cyphomyrmex costatus is the source of this 380-nucleotide long non-coding RNA. RefSeq lists it as uncharacterized. The transcript is spliced from 3 exons. The record is from RefSeq and is a predicted model, not a curated record. Lineage: Eukaryota; Metazoa; Arthropoda; Insecta; Hymenoptera; Formicidae.
UUGCUAAAGGUUUCUUCAAGAAGUAGCAGUUUCUGAAUUGUGAGAGCUCUCGAUGGAAAACACAUUAAAAUUCGAGCUCCAAUUUAUUUAGAAAGUCAAUUUAUUAAUUAUAAGAAGUACUUCAGCAUUAUUCUUUUGGUAAUAUAUAAUGCAAAUUAUAAAUUUGUAUGGGUGGACAUUGGGCAAUAUGAGGUAUCAGCGACAGCGAUGUAUGGAGUAAUACUGAAUUAGCAGCUGGAAUGCGAGAGAAAACUGCUGAAAUUCCAGGUCCUCGGUAUCUCCCAGGGACAGCAAUAAAAGCCAAUCAUGUAUUUAUUGUUUCUUUUUUACGAUCACACUCAAAAUGUCUAUGUUGCAAGAGCUAUAACUUCAAGACUGAG